This 253-nucleotide ribosomal RNA is filed under the name uncultured bacterium. RNAcentral's name for it is "partial 16S ribosomal RNA". It matches the Rfam family "Bacterial small subunit ribosomal RNA", at positions 524 to 776 of the family's 1533-position model. The record is from RNAcentral.
UACGAAGGGGGCUAGCGUUGCUCGGAAUCACGUGGCGUAAAGGGUGCGUAGGCGGGUCUUUAAGUCAGGGGUGAAAUCCUGGAGCUCAACUCCAGAACUGCCUUUGAUACUGAGGAUCUUGAGUUCGGGAGAGGUGAGUGGAACUGCGAGUGUAGAGGUGAAAUUCGUAGAUAUUCGCAAGAACACCAGUGGCGAAGGCGGCUCACUGGCCCGAUACUGACGCUGAGGCACGAAAGCGUGGGGAGCAAACAGG